UGUCUUUUAAAAUAUAAAAAACCAAAAUUUUUUUUCUUUCUUUUCCUCCCUCGACGAACAGAUGAGAACAGAUGAAUCUCUGCUGAUUCUUUCUUUUUCAUAGAUUUCAAUCGAUUCACCUUGGUUUUUCCGGCAAUCUAUCUCCGAUGGACUUACGGGGACGGCGAAGGGCACCGGCAAGCAAGACGAGAGGAGCUAUAGAGUUGGGGCUAAUCGAAGACUGUUCUUGGCCAUGGAUUUAUGUUGAUGAUAUUUCCACUUAACAAAGCUGCCGUUGAUCUCUCUUAGCCAGCCAAGAAGUAGGAUUUGCCUUUCCAUUAUAGUUGCUAUACAUUGAAAACUAACUAGGUGCAAAAACAAACCUAAAGGCAAGGUUCCAGUUCUGUUUGUUCAGUUGACUUCGUGGACUCGAGGAGGCUGCUUGCAGAUCUCAAACCCAAAGGCAAGAUUGUAAAUUCAUGAUCAUGAGCUGGAGGUAAAAUUAUGAUGGCUGGAGGUGAAUUAGCUGAGCUACGCUAUGAAUGCUUAUUGGUGGACAUGUAAGUAUGGCUGGAGGUGAAUUAGCUGAGCUACGCUAUGCUAUACGCUAUGCUAUACGCUAUGUCUUUGAUGAAUGGAACGACCAACGUUAGCAGGAAACAACUCAAUUCCGACAACUCAACAUGUGACUACAAAAUGUUGUAGAGUGCAAAAACAAACCUAAAUGAAGUGGUAAGAACUGCAGGAAUCUACCACAAUUACUGGCUCUUCAUACUCUUUUACUGACAUUAUAGCUGAGUGAAAUUUAUAUGUAUUAAUAAACAAGAGUUUUAAAAAAUAUAUAUUUUAAUAAUUGAGAAACGGUUUUUCUAGUGGAAGGAUAAA
Molecule: long non-coding RNA, 864 nt
Organism: Camelina sativa (false flax)
Lineage: Eukaryota; Viridiplantae; Streptophyta; Magnoliopsida; Brassicales; Brassicaceae
Source: RefSeq, a predicted model, not a curated record